Long non-coding RNA from Acanthochromis polyacanthus (spiny chromis), 5216 nucleotides. RefSeq lists it as uncharacterized. Lineage: Eukaryota; Metazoa; Chordata; Actinopteri; Pomacentridae. The record is from RefSeq and is a predicted model, not a curated record. The transcript is spliced from 2 exons.
UGGACACCGUUUCAGAUCUAAUCAGCAAAGAGCCAGGGGAGGUGUUUCCACAGCUGUAUCUGAAGUGCAGCUCUCCGUUGGUCAGCUGAGGAGGGAAAACGAGCAAGAAUCCAUCAACGCAUUAGACGGAUAAAUACCUGUAAAGUUCCCCAGUCCUUGGUGCUGGUCGUGGACACGAUGAGGCCCUGCUCCUGGUAAGUCUUGAACCUCAGGGACAGUCUGAAGUCCUGGCUGUCCUCGUCCAUCCUGUGAAGAUACUUCAGGUAGGACUUGCCGUCGAACCUCAGCGCCGACUCUGGAAGACAGAAAUAGAACAACAUCCGACGGUGAAUCAUCCAUAGAUGUAGAGAGGCACAAUUCUGCUCAAUGCAACACGAAUUAAAACAUAAACAGUCAAGUAGAAUACAUGAACACACACAUAAGUUCUGCUAGUUUUGCCUGAAUCUGCCCUUUUGCUCAGUUUAAUUUGAUUUAAAAUCAAAUAUCUUUGGGUUUGGCGUCAUUGUCCGGACAAACCCAGACAUCUGCUUCACUUUGGGCCCUCUGUGCAAAUCAAUUCAUUAAAUGACCGAUGACAGUUUUAAUAAAAACGUGUCUCUGUUAAAUAAACCAAGUAAGUUAAAGACCAGCGCCUCCCUCCACAACCAUAGUUUAUAGUUAUUCAUCUGAGCAGCAUAUAUUGGCCAAUGUUAACCCAUCCAAGUAAAUGCAAAUACACCUAAAUGUUUAAUUUUGAGCUCAAAUUUUCAGCUUAGUCUAUAUGUUGUUCACAAUUAUUAUAAAUAAGAAGGAUUUUUGAAAUUAAAGCAUAGGUAAAAUUAAUAAGUUGACUGUUAAAAGUAAUUGUCAGAAAUAUGGUCUUCUUGAGUAAAUGUUUGACUGGAUACAUCUUUGGGUCUGUCUUUGUCAUCUUGGGAAAAUAUAUAGAUUCAUGUACGUAAAAUAAACCAUUACAGAUACUGAAGACUGUUAGUGUCAACAUGUCUUCCCCCAACACAUCAGAUGACUUUCAGUCUUUGCAAAUUAGUCUUAAUCAAUUCGUCUUAACUAAUUAAAGUCUUCUACAGAGUCUCCAACCACUAGAUCUUUGCUAACUGAGCCUUGAAGGCACUAAAUACCUCCAGAACAAUUCUAACCAAUUCAUUCUUGUGUUUUUUCCAAACUGAUCAUCAGUCCUGAAGACAGCAACGUUACUUUGAGCGAGAUGUGACAGCUUAGUCUUUUAGUCAGAAAAAAAAGGAACAAAAGACCGGAAUAAAGUAAUUUUGCACAGGUUUUGGCAUGGUUAAGAACAAAGGCAGGAAAAGACUGAAUGAAUUCAUGUACGGACAAAAAUUCGAUGAAACUUUAAUAAUGCCCGUGGGGACGUUCCCAAGGUCUGCUGCUUAAAAAAAACUUUCCUCUUCGUUGGUUAGAAACUUUUGUUGAGGUGGAAUCUGAAGCCUCUAACUUUAAUUUGUACAUUCUGCUCCACCAGACCAGUCGUCUUAAAGGCCACCGGAUUAAAACCCUCGCUGGCUGGUUGGACAAACAAUAAGUCUUGUUCGUCAGCCGCCACCGGCAACACAAAUAUUAAAGCAAGAAAACACUAUAAACAAACAAUAAAGAUGAAAACUUAAUGACAAACACAGAAUGUGCUACUUAAUCAAACAUUGCAUGAUAAAAAAGGUCAAAAACUCAAUCACUGUUUGUGUAAUGACUUGUUUGUUUUAGUGGUUGAGAUUGUUGUCAACUUUCUGGGACAGCAACGAAUUAUGUUUUUGUUACAGAUUAAUCUGGUUAUUAUUAUUUUUUUCAAUUACCGAAAUAAAAGUUUAGUCUAUAAAGUUGUAGAAAACUGAUCACUGUGGUUUGGUUUUGUUGGACCAAUUUGAACUCAGCUCACGAUUGGCAGUUUUGCUGAAUAAAUCACUUAACUAAUGAUUAAAAUUGCUGGUGGUUAAUUUCCUGUUGACGAUUUAAUUUAAUGAACUAAUCGACUAGUUGUUUCAGCAUCGACAUAACUGGUCAUUCAAAGCAAUCACUGAAAAGCCAUUUCAGUAUUGGAAGAUUAGAUUUAAAGCACGUUUUAAAGUAAAUACAGACUCUUCUAUAUUCCAUUCAUUCCUUAUUGUUUGAAUUGAGUAUUUCACAGCUCUGUGAAACGAUACGUAGGCAUCAGAGACAUAAAACAGUUGGAUAGCAGAGCUUUGAAGAUACUUGUAUGCUCUGUAAUCUCACUCACGGCUCACAGCUUAUCAACAAACCUUUGAGUCUUUUAAGACUGAAAGGCUAUCGGAUAUAGUCAAAAUACGGUGGCGAUAACACAAUCAAAAGAUUUUCCAGAGGCAAAACUCUAAAUGAGAUAAUGAGCGUCUGUCCUGGUGAGCCCUCAGCUGACUUGACUUCAUUGGGGACCAAACUAAUCCUCGCAGGAAUGCCGACACAAAUCAGCAAAGUCGUUCCAGAUGGCGCCGUUCUUUAGUGGUUAAGAAGUGUUGUCUAGAAUUUAAAAGAUGCUCUGAGUGACUUGAAUGAAGGGAUUUACAGUCUUAGUUCACAGUAUGUAACAGGUAAGAAAAAAAAGGCCCUUUGAUCUCUGAAAAAGACCGAUAUCUUCAUUGAGUUGCCUGAAAAUACAAGUCAGAGCAACAAACCAAGAAAUGGAAGAUGGGUAAAGAUGCUUGAAGCUCCCGUAGAGUUGAGGGGAAACACCAGGAGAGGAUGGUGCUCAUAAGGGCUUCUUCAAAUAUUCACCAACACAAACAGCACAGAGGAUAUUUCCUCACAUCAGUGCCAAUCUAAACUUGUCAAAAAGUAUCAUAAAAUUUUCCAAAUUGACCUAAAUUGACUCAAAAAGAUAUAAAAUGAUGCAAAAGUGACACGAAACGAUGUAAAAUGACGGAAAAAAUAUACAAAACUUUGUUAAAUAUAACUCAAAAACUGCCCAUAAAUGAGUUAAAUUUGUCAAAUUUACUUAAAAUUAAAAUAUUUGAGUCAUCACGGAGAAUCUGAGUCAUUUUUUAAUAUGUUUACUGACAUUUUAUACAAGGUCUAGUCCAGUUUUGAGUCUCUGUUCAUCAGCUGUAGAAAGAUGUUUCACCAUGCUCAAUGUAUCUUCCAAGAACUUGUUGCUCUGUUCACUGUUUUUGAGGCGUGCUGUGUUUAUUCUAUUGAUACACUAUGUUUAAAUGUGCUCCAAGUCUAAAGUUCUCCACCAUCCUUUGAAACUUGUUCAAAAUGAUUUGAGACUUGCCCAAAAUGAUGUAAAAAUUUGACCAAAGUAACAUAAAAUUGUCUAAAUUGCCCAGAAAAUUUGUGGCAAGGAACAAAAAUAUUAAAGCUGACUCAAGAAUUGUCCGAAAUAACUGAAAAACAAAAAAACAAAUAGAACUCUUGCUUAACUAAACCCAACGGCGAGGCUUAAGAUUAUGUCACAAAAUACAGGAUGUUGGGCUGAGACUCGAUGGCCCGAUCCCCAGGCUCAACAGUCAGAGACUUGGAGGUGUAGUCCCAAAGUGAAAGUAAAGAAAAAAAUGAAGUACACAAAGGAAGAUGCAAGUUUUUUUUUGCGCUUUCUUUGAGUGAAUUUACGUACAGACUUGACCAUAGAUCACAGCAAAAUUGGUGAUGUAUAAACACGGCUGUGUCCACAGGUGCAUGAAAAAAAAUCCACCAAGAAGUUAAUCUGUCAGCAUCAACAUCUGGCUGCUCGCUGUUUGGUUGGAGUUAUUAACUGCACUUCUGCGCUGUUUUACAUUUUCAAAUGUCCCCGACAGAAUGGUCAGAUUAUAACGGCUCCCUGAAUUUUCGGUAAUAUGCAUAAACAUCACAAACACAUCAGCUGAUAAAACUGUGAAUAAAACAAGCGCAUGCAAAUAAGACUACUCAUGCAAGACACAUACUACAAUGUUUGCAGCAGAUGCUCAUGACAAAUGACAAACUGACAGUAAAUAUUUCAGCGUUAAACUAGAAUUAAUGCUCAUUUGCAUAAGCAUAGGAUUUAUGGUGUAGAUGAUUUAUGACAGUAUACUGCAGCAAAUAUACAUGCAGUAUCCACAGUGAACAGUAUGAAGUGUGAAAUUGGGUCAGAUGGAAUGAAGUAAAUAGGGAACUGAUACGGACUAAAUGGGAAGAGUCCUGAUUGGAUGAGCGAUGGAAAGCUGGACUGCAGAAAAUGACUUCUAAUAAUGACUUACAACUAUACAGCAGCACCGUGCAGCAAGAAUCAAACUGUUUCUUUUUAUAUUUAGUCCCCUAAUUGCUUCUAUUCCUGCGGGUACUUUCUCUUGUAGUUGCCUGUACCCUAUACAUAUGUUGAAAGAACAACGUGAAAAGCUUAAUUUUCCUCCAUUCUGGCAGAAUAAACAAAGCGUUUUAAAUUGGGCUUCACCUCAGUUUUCCUCAGCUACACUUUGUUCUAUACACAGUUGGAUGAGAGUCAGUCGGGGACAGCAUGCACUCUGUACUCUUUGUGGAAGUUGAGAGAGUCGGCUGUAAUUCCUGCCGGUUCACACGUACAGCUUGUUUCUUUUAUUCAACACCAAACUUUGGAACUGGAUCAAUUGUCAGAGCAGCAGCAGCAGCAGCAGCAGCAGAAUCGCCGGCUGCAGACUCGUCCUGCUCGAGCUCUGUGACAGUGAACCUCAGACAUGUCAUUAAACUCACGCACGCACUCGGUCAUUAGCCGAGCUCAGGUACAUUCACUGACAGGCGGACAUACCGUUACAGGGGCAGACGCUCUCCCAGGUGUGCAGCGGGGUGAUGUAACCGGCUCUCGCUGUGGUGAAAUGACUCAGCCUCUCCCCUGACAGCCGAACAGCAUUCCUGCAGCCUCGUGGAGGACAGCCGGUGCCCAGACAGCCGUUGUGGCUCACCCUGAGGAUUCUGAGGCCCAGCGAGUCCUCGAUGUCUGCUAAAAUCCCUGCAUCAAAGAUUUCAACAUCUCAAACUGUGUACAUGCAGCGCCCUCCAUAAUUAUUGGCACCCCUGGUUAAGACGUGUUAAAAGUCUUAAAAUAAAUUCAAUUUUUAUUGCAGAAGCAUACUCUCACACUGAAAAUUGUACAAAAAAUGUAUUAUAUGAGAAGCUUAUGUGCUGUUUUGUUGGCAAAAGGGGGUUGUACGAAAUAAGAACAUUAGGGUUACUAAUAAUUUUGGCACACAUGAUUUGAUGUAAAAGAAUUAUUUCAUAAUGUGUGAUUUUUUUCCCCACUGAAUAAAUGCACUUGAAUUAUC